Molecule: long non-coding RNA, 639 nt
Organism: Benincasa hispida (wax gourd)
Lineage: Eukaryota; Viridiplantae; Streptophyta; Magnoliopsida; Cucurbitales; Cucurbitaceae
Source: RefSeq, a predicted model, not a curated record
AACGGUUAUUUUGCUUGGUGCACUUUGGUCCGCUACUUGCGUAAUAAGGCUGUAAAAAUGGUGUUGGUUAUCAUGUGCAUCUGACAAGUGAGAUGAACUUUCAGCCAUCCUUGUAAAGCCAUAGUGAAAGAUCUACUCACCACUGAAUCGUUCAAGCACCGAUAUCAUGAACGUCGGAGGAUAUAAAUUCUCAGCAUUAGAGAUUGAGAAUCAGUGAUUUUGAAGGUUACCUCAUUGUUAUCCUUUGUACUCUCUCUCAAGGAAAGUGAAAGACAACCCUCACACUUACAAUAGAAAAGGAAGAAUAAAGAACAUGAAAUGACCACCAGCCAAAUCACUUGUGCAGCAUCUGUCUGUCAUAGAAUGUUGUGUGUUGGGAUUACCAGACAAAGACCAUGGAGAACGUGUUCGUGCAAUUAUUGUGCUUCAGCCCAACAAAAAAAUGACGACGCCUGAUGAGUCCCAAGCCUACUAUGAGCUUAGAUGAACUCCCCACAUGGGCUAAAGACAAGCUUGCUCCAUACAAGGUAAUCCAGAUUGGAGAUUUCAGUUGUUAAAACUGUCAUUUCUGUGCAAAUACAUUGUUAAGACAGAUUGAUAAAAUAAUAAUAAUAUAAUACGAUGACAAGUUUUUUCCUA